Molecule: unclassified non-coding RNA, 402 nt
Filed under: soil metagenome
Description: partial contains 5.8S ribosomal RNA, internal transcribed spacer 2, and large subunit ribosomal RNA
Rfam family: 5.8S ribosomal RNA (bases 1-121)
Source: RNAcentral
GAUGAAGAACGUAGCGAAAUGCGAUAAGUGAUGUGAAUUGCAGAAUUCAGUGAAUCAUCGAAUCUUUGAACGCACCUUGCGCCCUUUGGCUAUUCCGAAGGGCAUGCCUGUUUGUGUAUCGUGAACACCUCAACUCUCAUGGUUUGCCAUGAUGAGCUUGGACUUUGGGGGUUUUGCUGGCCUUUGGUCGGCUCCUCUCAAACGGAUCAGCUUUCCAGUGUUUGGUGGCGUCACGGGUGUGAUAACUAUCUACGCCUGUGGUUUUCUGCCAGAUAACCUUCAGCGAUGGAGGUUCGCUGGGGCUCAUAAAUGUCUCUCUUCAGUGGAGACAGCUUUUUGGACGUUUGAUCUCAAAUCAGGUAGGACUACCCGCUGAACUUAAGCAUAUCAAUAAGCGGAGGA